GACGUAGGGCGCGAGCGUUGUCCGGAUUUAUUGGGCGUAAAGAGCUCGUAGGCGGCUUGUCGCGUCGUCUGUGAAAUCCCGCGGCUCAACUGCGGGUCUGCAGUCGAUACGGGCAGGCUAGAGUUCGGUAGGGGAGACUGGAAUUCCUGGUGUAGCGGUGAAAUGCGCAGAUAUCAGGAGGAACACCGGUGGCGAAGGCGGGUCUCUGGGCAGUUCCUGACGCUGAGGCACGAAGGUCAGGGGAGCAAACGGG
This 253-nucleotide ribosomal RNA is filed under the name uncultured bacterium. Its description in RNAcentral is "partial 16S ribosomal RNA". It matches the Rfam family "Bacterial small subunit ribosomal RNA", at positions 524 to 776 of the family's 1533-position model. The record is from RNAcentral.